This 444-nucleotide ribosomal RNA is filed under the name uncultured bacterium. RNAcentral describes it as "bacterial SSU rRNA". It matches the Rfam family "Bacterial small subunit ribosomal RNA", at positions 355 to 796 of the family's 1533-position model. The record is from RNAcentral.
UAAGGAAUAUUGGACAAUGGAGGCAACUCUGAUCCAGCCAUGCCGCGUGAAGGAUGAAUGCGCUAUGCGUUGUAAACUUCUUUUAUACGGGAAAAAUAUCUGCUAUUCUUAGCGGAUUGAUUGUACUGUAAGAAUAAGGGUCGGCUAACUUCGUGCCAGCAGCCGCGGUAAUACGAAGGACCCGAGCGUUAUCCGGAUUUAUUGGGUUUAAAGGGUGCGUAGGCGUCCUGGAAAGUUACGGUUGAAAUCUCCUUGCUUAACAAGGAAACUGGCCGUAAAACUAUCAGGAUUGAGUACAUUUGAAGCGGGCGGAAUGUGUCAUGUAGCGGUGAAAUGCUUAGAUAUGACACAGAACACCAAUUGCGAAGGCAGCUCGCUAAACUGUAACUGACGCUGAGGCACGAAAGCGUGGGGAUCAAACAGGAUUAGAUACCCCCGUAGUCC